CCUACGGGUGGCAGCAGUGGGGGAUAUUGCACAAUGGGGGAAACCCUGAUGCAGCGACGCCGCGUGUAGGAAGACGGUCCUCUGGAUUGUAAACUACUGUCCCCAGGGACGAAGCUGACGGUACCUGGGGAGGAAGCUCCGGCUAACUAUGUGCCAGCAGCCGCGGUAAUACGUAGGGAGCGAGCGUUGUCCGGAAUUACUGGGUGUAAAGGGAGCGUAGGCGGGGAUGCAAGUUGGGUGUUAAAUCUACCGGCUAAACUGGUAGUCGCACUCAAAACUGCAGCUCUUGAGUGAAGUAGAGGCAGGCGGAAUGCCUAGUGUAGCGGUGAAAUGCGUAGAUAUUAGGAGGAACACCAGUGGCGAAGGCGGCCUGCUGGGCUUUUACUGACGCUGAGGCUCGAAAGUGUGGGGAGCAAACAGGAUUAGAUACCCGAGUAGUC
Molecule: ribosomal RNA, 440 nt
Filed under: uncultured bacterium
Lineage: Bacteria
Description: partial 16S ribosomal RNA
Rfam family: Bacterial small subunit ribosomal RNA
Source: RNAcentral